RNAcentral lists this long non-coding RNA (379 nucleotides) under Salvia miltiorrhiza (redroot sage). RNAcentral's name for it is "long non-coding RNA (SMIL_LNC000639)". The record is from RNAcentral. Lineage: Eukaryota; Viridiplantae; Streptophyta; Magnoliopsida; Lamiales; Lamiaceae.
UAUCUGGAUACCCUCCCGGAAGGGAUUGGAUCGUUUUCAUACAUGAAGGAGAUAAAGAUGGUGACAACCAGAAGCAUUGCAGCAAAGAUGAGGAAAUUAAAGUGUAUCUCCAAAAUAGGGAUCGUGAAUAUCGAUCCAUGAGCUCGCGCGGGUGCCUGCAUUGUUUUUACGUAUGUUUUGCUUGUUGGCCUUAAUUUGUGAUGUAGUUCUUGGAGAAGCUUGAUAGACACCAACAUUAAUUAUGUUUAUGAGCUUUCAUUUCAAAUAUAUUUUUCUUCUGUUAAUUUUUAUUUCUUUGUGAUUCCUUCAACUUGCAUACUAUGUAAACACUUUGCUGGGGAUUGCUACGGAUGGUGAAGUUUGAGAGAUUUAAAAUUGG